UGGAAAUGACGCUGGGGGAGGUAAACCCCUGUCCGUUCGUGCGACCCCAGAGGCUAUAGUGUUCGCGGUCUUGUUUUUCUGGAAGUGGGCCUCCGCGAUCUCGGGAACCAACACCCCGAAUCCGGCGCCCAAGCAGGGAGGCCAGCUGCUUUAGGCGGCUCCAGAAAGGCCAGGCUUCGGAGCCUCUAACCUGAUGAAGGUGGGACUUCGGCAAAGUCGAGAAACCUAAGUCUGGGAAGAGUUGGUAUACCCAUGGCCCACGUUCUUGCUCAGAAGAAGCAGACUGCAAAAUUCUGGAGGUGACAAAGGGAAGAUGAAGGCACAUAAACACCUGCUCCUCCCCUCCAGACCCCAAAGCAAUUUCGGCGAGUUUUGGAAGGGAAUGAAGGUGACAACUGUGCUAGGACUCAUCUGGCCUGGGAGCAGAUGGCGCAGGCCUGGAUGUCGCUACCGGAGAAGGUCCAUCGGGAAGCAGCCUGGCCUCGCGGGCGGUAAUAAGUCACUGUUUAUGGGUGUGGUUGUGAGGGAGGGACACAUGCGGGGAGAGAUUCAGGUUCUCGAGCGACUGGUGCUGAGGAGGUCGCCUGCUCUGGAUAAUAGUACCUUGUGGAAAACCGUUACCCGGAAGGCAGAAGUGUUGUGACUGUGGUGAGUGCACUGUUUGAUGAUUCUGGGCAUCAGGUGGACAAUGUGGAGGAGAGAGAAUUUCCAGGCAGCAGGAUUAUAAACAAAUUCACGCUGAGAAAUAGCCUGGUGACCUUAGCUAAAGUACAUAGUAAGAGCAGACGAGAUUCCUGGAGGAGCAGCAGCUAUUAUGCAUCAUAAUGAUGAAAGCCACAGAAUAAAGAGCAAGAAGGUAGAAGGAGCCUGAGAACUUCAUGACAUUCUUGGACAGUGGUGCCAACCUUGGAUGAUUUACCUCAGGAUUUUUGGUUAAAUAACAUAUAUUAACUCCUUUCUGUUUAACCCACUGGAGUUGAAUUUUCUGUUGCAGUGAGUACCAUCCUAACUGAUUAUCCUGGCUAAUAUGUAUUAGCACCUAUCAUGGGCCAGUGUAGUUCUAAGCACUUUAUGUACUAACUUUUUAAAUCCUCACAACGACCUUAUGAGAUAGGCCUAAGGUUCUCAAAGUGAGCCAGCAGCAUUAGCAUCACCUGGAACUUUGUUAGGAAUACAGAUUUAGGGUCCGGCUCCACACCUCCUGAAUCAGAAACUCUGGGAGUGGGGGCCCAGUAAUCUGUUUUAAGAAACCCUGCAGGCGAUUCUGAUACAUGCUAAAGUUUGACAGCUUUAUCUGUAGGUGAGGUAUUGUUGCUAUCCCUAUUUUACAUGUAAGGUAGACUGAGCUGAGUCUUGAGUCGCUUGCCCAAUGUUACACAACUAGUAAGACUAACUCCUAAAGCUGUCUGUAAAGUCAUGCCACAUGUUAAGAACGCCUACUCUAGAGCAGCAGUCUUCAAAAUUUGAAAGCGUACUCCUUUGAAAAAUUAUGUACCCCCUUGCACAUUUUUAGAUCGAUAUCUAAAAAUUUCACAUAAGUUCAAACAGUUGUAAAGAAUUAUUUCCAGUACAUUGUAAAUUGUGACAUUUUAAAAUGUGUUCAUCACUCUUCUAAAUGAAUCUAAAUACCAUAGUGAUUAUUUUGUAAAUGGACCGUCCAUUUAAAAAAGUAAAUUUUCUUUAACAUUUGAAAUUUUAUGUCCUUCUCUUGAACUCGUAUUUUCAUUCCCCUACCAACAAAAAUACAUCCUAUUGUAACACGCCUGUUUUGAUCUACCCUGUUGUUCUUCUCUGCAGCAAAAAGUACGAACAUUGAACUUAAUUUUUAAAAAAUUUCCAGUGAUCAUAUAGCUUUAAGAGUUAUAAGUAUACAAUCAAAUAAUUGUGACUGUAUUAUAUAUUUUGAUAAGUUAGUAGACAUACAAACUAAAAUCGAAUUGGAAAUCCAUCUCUUAAUGAGAUGGAUGGGACUUAAGAUUUUCCAAUUGAUUCAUGUAUCCAUGGAUGAAUGUUCCUUGUUGCAAGAAUGAGACAAGUUCAACAUCAAUUUUAUGUCUGUUUUUCAUUAUAGAUAUGAGAGAUUAUAUUCACAUAAAAAAGAGGAAUUAGGGCCAGCUCCACUGGUGCUCUGCUUUGGCGGCCUGGGUUUGGUUCCUAGGGACAGACCUACACUGCUCUGUUAGGAGCCAUGCUGUGCUGGUGGCCCACAUACUAAAAAAUAGAAGAAGAUUGGCAUGGAUGUUAGCACAGGGCAAAUCUUCCUCAGAAAAAAAAAAGAAAAGAAAAAUAAAGGAGUUUUGAAAUAGGAAUGCAAUUCUAAUUUUUCUAACUCCUGUAUUAACGCCAAAAUCACAUUAUAUAUCAUUAAAAAAAAGUUUUGUUAAUCUAUUACUGACAACUGGGUUAGAACCUCUUUCACUUUUGUGUAAAGCAAAUGUAAUAAACAGAAGCCACCUGGGUUGCAUAAGAUUUUGUUACCCAGUCAUUUAAGCCAUUCACUUUAUCACUGACAUCUUAUUUUAGGGUCCUGUUGUCAGAUGCUUCAAGGAGGUUUUGCAUCUUGGGGCAAGAUGAACGAUAAGAUAUGGGAUGGUUGAGAGUUAUCUCCUUUUUCCUUAAUGAGAAAAGAGUUGUGACAAAAGAGGAGGUGGGAAAGCAGAAAGUUUACUGGCAGAUCAGCCACAAGUGAGUCCCUGUGGAAGUGCAAGAUCAGGAAAUGGAUUCCCUUGAAACUGUCUGUAUUCUCAGGGAUACGCAUACCCCAGUUUGAAAACUAAAGGAUACUAAGAGAUAGCUCUUAGAAUCACCACUGUCAUGUCCUAUGUCAACUUAAACAAACAGAUUACCUUAGUUUCAGUUUCUCACUCAGGAAGUAGGUAUAAGAAUGUGGAACUAAGCUGCAAAUCCCAAAUUGUUGGUGCUCGCAGUGUCAAUAUACGUGCCUGAGAGACAUGUAUUUGAUGCCUUGGGUCAUCUUUAACCUUUUCUUCACGUAUUUUCAGAUAAAUACUCAAUUAUCCUGGAUACUUCCUAAAUUCAGUAGAAAACUUGUCCUGGUAGCAAUAGUCACAGCCAAGUUCUCGAGUUUCGAAAGAUGAACCUCUAUGCUGCUUUGGGACUAUUUGGCCGCAAUCCCAGAAUGGUGUUUCUGUGUACACAGCACUGGGGAAGUGAAGUUAGAAUCACAGGUAUUGAGCCUGUUUCUUCUCUGCCUUCACAUCCUCCUGUAGCAUUUUCUGUGUCUGGACUAAGUUGCUUUCCUUCUCUCAUCCAUAACUAUACUGAUCCAUUUCUCUUUUUCUUUUUUUCUUGUGGAAAGAACACUUAACAUGAGAUGUAUCCUCUUAACAAAUGUUUAAAUGUACAAUACUUUAUUGUUGACUGGAGGUACAAUGUUGGACAACAGAUCUCUAGAACUUCUUCUUCUUCUUUUUUUUUUUGAGGAAGAUUAGCCCUGAGCUAACAUCUGCCACCAAUCCUCCUCUUUUCUGCUGAGGAAGGCUGGCCCUGAGCUAACAUCCGUGCCCAUCUUCCUCUGCUUUAUAUGUGGGAUGCCUAGCACAGCAUGGCUUGCCACUUGGUGCCAUGUCUGCACCUGGGAUCUGAACCAGUGAACCCAGGGCUGCCAAAGCAGAACGUGCGCACUUAACCGCUGCGCCACCAGGCCAGCCCCCUAUUCAUCUUCUUUGACUAAAACUAUCCCUAUUGAUUAAUAACUCCCCAUUUCCCCCUCCCCCAACCCCUGACAACCACCAUUUCAUUCUUUAAUUCUAUGAAUUUGACUAUAUUAGAUAUCUCAAAUAAGUGGAAUCAUGCAAUAUUUGUCCUUCUGUAACUGGCUUAUUUCACUUAGCAUAAUAUCCUCAAAGUUCAUUCAUAUAGUCGAAUAUUGCAGAAUUUCAUAUUUUAAAGGAUGAAUAAUAUUACAUUGUAUGUAUAUACUACAUUUUCUUUAUCCAGUUGAUGAACUAUAGGCUGUAUCUACAUCUUGGCUAUUGUAAUGGUGUUGUAAUGAACGUGGGAAUGCUGUCUCUACCAGAUCCUGAUUUCAUUUCUUUUGGGAAAAUCUCUACAAGUGGAAUUGCUAGAAUACAGUAGUUCUAUUUUUAAUUUUUUGAGGACCCUCCAUACUGUUUUCCAUAGCAGUUGCACCAUGUCAUUCCUGCCAACAGGGUGCGAGGGUUCCAUUUCUCCACACCUCACCAUCACUUGUGGGGUUUUUUGGGUAAUAGCCCUCCUAACAGGUAUGAGGUGACAUCUUGUUGUGGUUUUGAUUUGCAUUCCCCUGAUGGUUAGUGAUAUUGAGUAUCUUUUCAUACACCUGUGUACCAUUUAUAUGUCUUCCUUGGAGAAAUAUUUAUUCAAUUCUUUAGCCUAUUUUCUUCUCUUUUUGCUGAGGAAGAUUUGCCCUGAGCUAACAACAUCUGUUGCCAAUCUUCCUCUAUUUUGUGUCUGAGCUGCUGCCACAGCAUGACCACUGACAGAUGAGUGGUACAGGUUUCCACCUGGGAACUGAACCUGGGCCACCAAAGUAGGAUAUGCCAAACUUAACCAGUAGGCCACUGGGGUUGGCAUUUUAGCCCACUUUUUAAUGGGGCUAUUAGAUUUUUUGUUUUUUGCUGUUGAGUUGUAGGAGUUGCCUUAUAUAUUUUGAGAAUUAACCCCUUAUCAGAUAUACGCUUUGCAAAUAUUUUCUCUCGUUCCAUGGGUUGCCUUUUCAUUCUGUUGUUUCCUUUACCGUGCUUUUUCAUUUGAUGUAGUCACACUUGUCUGUUUUUGCUAUUGUUGCCUGUGCUUUCGGUGUCACAUCCAUGAAAUCAUUGCCAAGACCAAUAUCAUCAGGCUUUCUUCCUGUGUUUUCUUCUAGCGGUUUUACACUUUCAGAUCUUACAUUUGAGUCUUUAGUAUAUUUUGAUUGUUUUUAAUGUAUGAUGUAAGAUAAGGGUCCAAUUUUAUUCUUUUACAUGUGGAUAUCCAGUUUUCCCAUCACCAGUUAUUGAAGUGAUUAUUCUUUCUCCAUUGUGUAUUCUUGGCAUCCUUGUGGAAGACCAGUUGACCGUAGAUGUGUGGGUUUAUUUCUGGGUUCUCCACUCUGUUUCAUCGGUCUGUAUGUUUUUAUGCCAGUACUAUACUCGUUUGAUUACUGUAGCUCUGUAAUAUAUUUUGAAAUCAGGAAGGGUGAUGCCCCUGGCUUUGUUCUUUUUCAAGAUUGAUUGACUAUUUGGAGUCCUUUGUGCUGCCAUAAGAAUUUUAGAAUAUUUUUUUCUAUUUCUGUAAAAGAUGCCAUUGGGAUUUUGAUAGGGAUUACAUUGAAUCUGUAGAUUUCUUUGGUGUGGACAUUUUAACAGUGUUAAGACUUCUACUCAAUGAAAACAGAAAGUCUUUCUCUUUGUGACUUCUUUAAUUUGUUUAACCAGUGUUUUAUAGUUUUUAUUGUACAAGUGUUUUAUCUCCUUAGUUAAAUUUAUUCCUAAGUAUUUUAUUCUUUUGUGUGUGUGUGUGUGUGAAAAAGACUGGCCCUGAGCUGACAUCUGUGGUCAGUCUUCCUCUUUUUGCUUGAGGGAUAGUGGCCCUGAGCUAACAUCUGUGCCAGUCCUCCUCUAUUUUGUAUGUGUGAUGCCACCACAGCAUGGGUUUGGUGGGUGGUGUGUGGGUCUGGGCCUGGGAUCCAAACCUAUGAACCCUGGGCCACCGAAGAGGAGCGUGAGCUUAACCCCUACACCACUGGGCCAGCCCCAUUUUAUUCUUUUUUGUACUGUUGUAAAUGGGAUUGUUCUCCAAAUUUCCUUUUUGGAUAGUUCAUUGCUAGUUUAUAGAGGCACAACUGAUUUUUGUUGGCUGAUUUUUUUAUCCUGCAAUUUUACUGAAUUCAUUUAUCAGUUCUAAUAGUUUUUUUAUGGAGUCUUAAGUUUUCUCUGUGUAAGUCAUGUCAUCACAUCUGUAAACAGGAACAAUUUUACCUUUUUUUUUUUUUCUGGUUUGAAUGCCUUUCUUUUCUUUUUCUUGCCUGAGUCCUCUGACUGGGACUUCCAGUACUAUGUUGAAUAGAAGUGGAGAGAAUGGGCAUCCUUGCCUUGUUCCUGAUCUUAAAGGAAAAGCUUCCAAUUAUUCACCAUUGAGAAUGGUGUUAGCUGUGGGCUCACAUGUGGUCUUUAUUAUGUUCAGGUACAUUCCUUCUAUACCUUGUUUGUUGAGAGUUUUUAUCCUGAAAACUCUCAAAUGCUUUUUCUACACCUAUUAAGAUGAUCAUGUGAUUUUUUUUUUUGAAGAUUGACGCCUGAGCUAACAUCUGUUGCCAAUAUUCUUCUUUUGUAUUUUUUCUUUUUUGUCUCCCCAAAGCGCCCCCAGUACAUGGUUGUAUAUUCUGGUCAUAGGUCCUUCUGGCUAUGCUGUGUGGGACACUGCCUCAGCAUGGCCUGACGAGCAGUACCAUGUCUGCGCCCAGGAUCCAAACUGGCGAAACUGUGGGCCACCGAAGAGGAGUGUGCAAACUUAACCACUUGGCCAUGGGGCCGGCCCCAUGAUCAUGUGAUUUUUAUCAUUUAUUCUAUUAAUAUGGUGUAUUAAAUUAAUUGAACAGUCGUUGAGAGUUAUUGAUGAUGAUGUAUAUCCUUGUACCCCUGGGAUAAAUCCUGCUUGGUCAUAGUAUAUUAUGCUUUUAAUAUGCUGUAGGAUUCAAUUUGCUAGCAUUUUGUUGAGGAUUUUUGCAUAUAUUUUCAUCAAGGAUAUUGGCCUAUAGUUUUAUUUUGGUGUCUUUGUGUGGCUUUGGUAUCAGGCCUUAUAAAAUGGCCUUAUAAAAUGAGUUUGGGAGUGUUCUGUCCUCUUCAGUUUUUUGGAAGGGUAUGCAAGGGAUUGGUGUUAAUUCUUUAUGGCUUACCAAGCAGUGCCAUGUCUGCACCUAGGAUCUGAACUGGUGAACCCCGGGCCGCUGAAGUGGAACGUGUGCACCUAACCACUGCGCCACCAGGCCAGCCCCAUCUUUUUAUUGACAAUAGAAAAUAGAAGACAAUGUGUAGGGCUGUUACCGAACUACAGUGGGUCCGCUUCUUAUGAGUUGAAAUCAAAGCCUUCACCAGAAGUACUGGUCACACAAAGUAAUAUUUAUUUGCAGCAAAUAGAAACCAUUGGGAAUCAUUUCCAAAGCCAAGCAAGGGAAAGCAGGGGCCAUUUAGGUCAGAUGAGGAAUGAAUAUUCAAAAGAGGGAGGUGGAUAUUCGCUUGUGCAGGGUCAGUUGGAAAACAUGCUUCCACAUACUUCACAUGUUAUGGUAAUAAGGCCUAAGCUCCUCCUGGGGCAGAGAUCUUAACAUUGAAAUGAAGCAAAGGUCAUCUCUUGAGCAUUUCUCAGCCUGUCUGGGCAGGCAUAGCUCUUGUGGUGGAGUUUGACCUGUUCAGAGAGGUUGGUGAUUGCAUCUCUUAACAUAACUAAAAAAACAAUUUGGAGAAACGGUUAAGUGCUUCUGAAACCUCCUUUGAGUUGCUUGGGGCAAUUCGUUGGUGAAAGGACCUGUUGCAUAAUUUGUGAGGCCCAGUGCAAAAUGAAAAUGUGAACCUCUAGUUCAAAAUUUAUUAACAACAUGGAGACAAUGACAGGAGAGCAUUACACCAAGUGGAAGUCUCUUCUGAUGGCAGGACCCUGUGCAACUGCCCAAGUCGCAUGCCCAGGAAGUCAGCUGGGACAAUGUGUUGUAGGGUAAUAGUAAAAAUUUAUGUGGGCAACUCACACUUUAGUCUCUGGGUCCUGUUAAACUCUUUGAAACAUAGAGAUUGUCCUCCCCAGAAUCAUCAGUAUCAUUAAUUUCUUAGGAGCCUUCUGCCUUUGCAAAUCCCCGUGUUUUGGAUCUGUCUGAGUUUUAAAAUCUCAGCCAAGCCAUAUGGAUACCAUCCUAUCAGAAGAGACAAAACUGAGCCUAAAACCAAGCAGAAAGAGUGAGCGCAAUGAAGAGGACUCUCCAUGCAUAACUGGAGAUUUCAGCCACCCACAUUUAUUCCAAGUGCAGUGUCGCAUUUUCUGGAAAGAACUGACUUCUUCCCCUUGUUCUGUUUCUAGAGCCCAGGACCAUGGGUGUGUUUCAUGGCAGAGAAAAGUGAAGAGGAGAAUUGUUUGUGUGUUUGAAGGAGAAACAGAUCAGCAGCCUUUUGUUUUGGCUCCUAAAGUAUGUAGGUGCCUAUUUCCAUUAUCUCUACAAAUAUACCCUUGCUGGUCCUCCUAUUCUGUAGGGGUGUUUCCUUGUCUAUUACAUGCUCCUUCCCUAUCUGUGACAUUUGAGUUUUGAUAAAAAUCCUCUUCUCUCUGGAAGUGUUGUGACUGGUAGUUUUUUCCCACAAUGUCAUUGCAGCAAAUGUUUCUGGUGGGCAUAGUCUCUACGUUUGGUGGAGAGGUCUUCCUCACUCUGGUAUCCGAUCAUCUGAUGUCACCAGAAGACUAACCAUUUGGCCCUACUACAUAUAAAACCAUUGCGGUGAAAAAGGACAGCAUGGGCAUCCUAGAGACGGAAGUUGGACCUCGUGACUGAGGCUUAUGCCCAAGAUUCUAGGGUGAAACAUUGCUUGUUCCAAUGAGACUAUCUAAAGACUAUUUGAUACAAGUGUUGCUGAGAUGAUACAGACUUUUUAGAUAAGUGAGAAAUGAAUGUCUAGAAUAUUUUAAAAGCUACAGAAAGUAGACAGAAACAUUUUCAUUAGGGAUAGUUUAUAAAGGAAGAGAACGGUUUUCUUUAAGGAGCAAGGAAACUGAUAUUUAUUGAGCACUUGCUGUUUACCAGGCACUGUGUAUGUGUGUAUGUGCGUGUAUGUGUAUGUGUCUGCUCACAACGGCUCCGUGGGGUAGUGAUUAUUAGCUCCGUUUUAAUAAUGAAGACAUUGUGGCUCAGAGGGAGUAAGGUGCAAAGCCAGAAUUGCGAGACAAGAUUGUUGGCCUCCCGUGUCCAUGUGUCCACUCACUUUUCCUUUUGAAGGUCUCAGGUAAGGGGUAGCCUCACUGGGAUUUAGGCAGCCUGCCCCAGGGUCCUUGUUCUGAACUACUGUGCUCCACUGCCUUUUAAGAGCAAAUUUAUCUUUUUACCAGGGAGUGAUGACCUUCAGAGGAAUCUUUCUAUCUAGAUAAGCAAAUUCAUAGAAUCCUGAUAGUAAACUGGAAUGUUAAUUGUUCUAAUAUUAUAUUGUUUUGACUUUCUUUAUCAGUAAUACUGAAUAUGGACUGAAGGUCAGAUGACUCCUGUCCCAAGUAAGGGACUCUGAGCACCAGGGAAAAUGAUUCUUUUUAAAGUUUUACUUUAAGUAUUUCAUAAUUUACUUCAUUUUCCCCCAGUUGUACUGGAGGUAUCUUUGGCUUAAAGAUCCCAAGGAUUGAUUGGUUGUUUUUUCACUCUUUAUUUCUGAAUUUACUUUUUUCCCUUUUUAAUUAUAGAAGUAUUUUCAAGGAUUACUGUCAAAACACAUAAAAAUAUAUGGCUAAGAAAAAAAUAUAUGUAUAUUGCCACAUUCCAAAGAUAAACAUACUUUAUGUGUUAGAAGAAACACAAUUUAUGGGCCUGGCCCACUGGCCAGGUGGUUGAGGUGACAUGCUCCACUUCCGCAGCCCAGGGUUUUGCCAGUUUGGAUCCUGGGCGCAGACCUAGCACCACUCAUCAAGCCACGCUGAGGUGGUGUACCACAUGCCACAACUAGAAGGACCCACAACUAAAAUAUACAACUAUGUAGUGGGGGGCUUUGGGGAAAAGAAGGAAAAAUAAAAAUAAAAAAAGAAAAUUUAUGUGUUACAAAACACAUUUUAUGUGUGUUAAGCACAUUUUGUUGUGUGUCUACUUCUGGACAUUUAUAUACAUAUACUGUAUCUGUACAUUUUUAAAAGGGAUUAUCAUCUUUUAAAAACUUUCUUGUAACGUGUUUUUUACUUAAUGCUAUUUCUUAAGCAUCUUUACUGAAAGAUAAUAGAUAGCUAAUUAUUAACUCUGAAGAGCAAGGGUCAAUAAAUAUUUGUUGAAUGAAUGUAUAAUUUCCCUUUAUCACCAGCUGCUUCCAAGCCCCUACUUCAGGUGUCUGGGAAUACCACAUGGCUUUAGGCCAAAAGCGUUUUGUCCCUCAUUAGGGCAAAAAAAAUUAAGGAUGUCUUUUCUCCUCCUCCCUCUAGUUCCAAUAAACCUACACUUUGUUCCCUUUCCCUCCUUUAGAGGUGCGAUGGAAAAGAAGUUUUCAGAUUCAGCUCCUUCCUGGAUGGGUAAACUUGUUUUAAAAUGUCACACUUUUGUGCAGUAAGAAAACUCAUAAGUGCUAUUUGUAAGCUAAGUACUGAUAAAAUAGAAAUCUCCUACAUAUAUUAAGUGAAGAAAAGAGCUGCAGAAUAAUGGUUAAAUAUUUUCCAUUUUAUGUAAAAGUUAGAUAAAAUAAACAUGGACAAAGAAAACAGCUCAGUGGUUACCAGGGGAAGGGGGUUGAGGGGUGGGCACAGGGGGUGAAGGGGAGCACUUGUGUGGUGACAAACAAGAAAUAAUGUACAACUGAAAUCUCACAAUGGUGUAAACUAUUAUGAUCUCAAUAAAAAAGUUAGAUAAAAUAAGACUAUGUUCAUGUUUGCAAGUAUCAUAAAAAAAAAGUCAGGAGGGAUGCAUAAGAAGCUAAAGCAAAGGUGUUGGUGAGAACUGGGGAGAUG
This 10650-nucleotide long non-coding RNA is filed under the name Equus caballus (horse). RNAcentral describes it as "lncRNA (ENSECAG00000058574.1)". Lineage: Eukaryota; Metazoa; Chordata; Mammalia; Perissodactyla; Equidae. The record is from RNAcentral.